This 508-nucleotide ribosomal RNA is filed under the name uncultured Sclerocystis. RNAcentral describes it as "SSU rRNA". It matches the Rfam family "Eukaryotic small subunit ribosomal RNA", at positions 569 to 1078 of the family's 1831-position model. Lineage: Eukaryota; Fungi; Glomeromycota; Glomeromycetes; Glomerales; Glomeraceae. The record is from RNAcentral.
AGCAGCCGCGGUAAUUCCAGCUCCAAUAGCGUAUAUUAAAGUUGUUGCAGUUAAAAAGCUCGUAGUUAAAUUUCGGGGUCAGUAGGUUGGUCGUGCCACUGGUAUGCACUGGCCUCACUGAUUCCUCCUUCUUGUAGAACCGUAAUGCCAUUAGUUUGGUGUUGCGGGGAAACAGGACUGUUACUUUGAAAAAAUUAGGGUGUUUAAAGCAGGCUAACGCCUGAAUACAUUAGCAUGGAAUAAUGAAAUAGGACGUUCGAUCCUAUUUUGUUGGUUUCUAGGAUUGACGUAAUGAUUAAUAGGGAUAGUUGGGGGCAUUAGUAUUCAAUUGUCAGAGGUGAAAUUCUUGGAUUUAUUGAAGACUAACUACUGCGAAAGCAUUUGCCAAGGAUGUUUUCAUUAAUCAAGAACGAAAGUUAGGGGAUCGAAGACGAUCAGAUACCGUCGUAGUCUUAACCAUAACCUAUGCCGACUAGGGAUCGGAUGAUGUUAAUUUUUUAAUGACUCA